Molecule: small RNA, 17 nt
Filed under: Arabidopsis thaliana (thale cress)
Lineage: Eukaryota; Viridiplantae; Streptophyta; Magnoliopsida; Brassicales; Brassicaceae
Description: ATSL008650
Source: RNAcentral
AUAAACAGAGAAAGAAA